Bison bison bison is the source of this 136-nucleotide ribosomal RNA. The record is from Ensembl. Lineage: Eukaryota; Metazoa; Chordata; Mammalia; Artiodactyla; Bovidae.
GUCUCCGGCCAUAUCAGCCUGAAGGCGCCCGAUCUCGUCUGAUCUCGGAAGCUAAAAUGAAGAGCUCUGUGAGAGGCUUCGGGGUGGAGAACGCCAGGCGCAGAGUGUAGUUCAGCGGGUCGGGGCGUCGGCGGCU